UACGUAGGGUGCGAGCGUUAAUCGGAAUUACUGGGCGUAAAGCGUGCGCAGGCGGUUCGGUAAGUCAGCUGUGAAAGCCCCGGGCUUAACCUGGGAAUGGCGGUUGAAACUCGCGAACUUGAAUCCGGCAGAGGGGGGUGGAAUUCCACGUGUAGCAGUGAAAUGCGUAGAGAUGUGGAGGAACACCGAUGGCGAAGGCAGCCCCCUGGGCUGAGAUUGACGCUCAGGCACGAAAGCGUGGGGAGCAAACAGG
RNAcentral lists this ribosomal RNA (253 nucleotides) under uncultured bacterium. Its description in RNAcentral is "partial 16S ribosomal RNA". It matches the Rfam family "Bacterial small subunit ribosomal RNA", at positions 524 to 776 of the family's 1533-position model. The record is from RNAcentral.